This 253-nucleotide ribosomal RNA is filed under the name uncultured bacterium. Its description in RNAcentral is "partial 16S ribosomal RNA". It matches the Rfam family "Bacterial small subunit ribosomal RNA", at positions 524 to 776 of the family's 1533-position model. The record is from RNAcentral.
UACGUAGGGGGCAAGCGUUGUCCGGAAUCAUUGGGCGUAAAGCGUGCGUAGACGGUUAUUUAAGUCGGGUGUGAAAGCCCCGGGCUCAACCUGGGAAUUGCAUUCGAGACUGAAUAGCUAGGGUACGGUAGAGGGAAGUGGAAUUUCCGGUGUAGCGGUGAAAUGCGUAGAUAUCGGAAGGAACAUCUGCGGCGAAGGCGGGUUGCUGGGCUGACACUGACGCUGAAGCGCGAAAGCUAGGGGAGCGAACGGG